GGCGCCGUGGCUAAGUCGGUUAGAACACCUGUCUUGCAAACAGGAGAUCCCUGGUUCGAAUCCGGGCGGUGCCU
Molecule: non-coding RNA, 74 nt
Organism: Acanthaster planci (crown-of-thorns starfish)
Lineage: Eukaryota; Metazoa; Echinodermata; Asteroidea; Valvatida; Acanthasteridae
Source: the annotation of a RefSeq genome assembly